Molecule: ribosomal RNA, 458 nt
Filed under: uncultured bacterium
Lineage: Bacteria
Description: partial 16S ribosomal RNA
Rfam family: Bacterial small subunit ribosomal RNA
Source: RNAcentral
CCUACGGGGGGCAGCAGUGAGGAAUAUUGGUCAAUGGGCGAGAGCCUGAACCAGCCAAGUCGCGUGAGGGAGUACUGCCCUAUGGGUUGUAAACCUCUUUUGUCGGGGAGCAAAAGCCGGACGUGUACGGCUGUGAGAGUACCCGAAGAAAAAGCAUCGGCUAACUCCGUGCCAGCAGCCGCGGUAAUACGGAGGAUGCGAGCGUUAUCCGGAUUUAUUGGGGUUAAGGGGUGCGCAGGCGGAUUUUUAAGUCAGCGGUCAAAUCGUGGGGCUCAACCCCAUCCAGCCGUUGAAACUGGGGAUCUAGAGUGUGCGAGAGGUAUGCGGAAUGCGUGGUGUAGCGGUGAAAUGCAUAGAUAUCACGCAGAACCCCGAUUGCGAAGGCAGCAUACCGGUGCACAACUGACGCUCAGGCACGAAAGCGUGGGUAUCGAACAGGAUUAGAUACCCCGGUAGUC